AUGUGGCGUUCAGUAUUCAGCCGCACAACUUCUUCAGACACUGAUGGCUUUGAGGAGCUUGACAGCUGUUAUUUGGAGCCUGAUGGGUUCCUUUUACCGAUUUUUGAUUCCAGAGAUGAACAGUUACCCACCUCUGAAACAACUGAGGUUCCCGAAAAUCCCGAACCAAAUGACCAGUACAGUCAUACAAUUCCUUCAGAUACUGAUGUCUUUGAUUGUACAGAAUAUUAUUUUGAAGAUGAUGGGCCCGUUUUCCCAAUUAUUGAUUCCGGAGAUGAACAGUUACCCACCUCUGAAUCAACUGACGUUCCUACAAGUAGUGAUACUGAUGGCUUUGAGGAGCUUGACAGCUGUUAUUUAGAGCCUGAUGGGUUCCUUUUACCGAUUUUUGAUUCCAGAGAUGAAAAAUUACCGGCCUCUGAAACAGCUGACAUUCCUACAAGCAGUAAUGUCUGUGGAAAUCUGCAACCCAGACAAAAGUAUAGUCAUACAAUUCCUUCAGAUACUGAUGUGUUUAUGCUUGAAGGAUAUUAUUUAGAACCUUAUGCGCCUGUUUUACCGAUUUCUUAUUCUAGAGAAGAACAGAGUGAAAGGAAUGGAAAAAAUGUUGUCAGAGAAAGUCUUCAAAGAGAGGAAGGAGAAACAAUUUUUUCCCGAGUUCAAACAAGCCUUUCAGCUCUUUCUUCCUUUAUUAUGGCUCCAGUUGAGUCUGUGGGCCGAGGAGUCAUUUAUGUCACCAGCCAAAUCUUUAAUAUUGGUCAAGCACCAUGUACCUCACCCACGAGUGAAUCUGAACUGUCACCCACCUCUGAAACAGCUCAGGUUCCUACAACCAGUAUUUCUGUAAACACCAAUGAAAAGGAACAGUCGACCAUCCUCCUUACUGAACCUUCAGACAUUAAUAUACCUGAAGAGAAUUUUCAAAGAGAGGAAGCAGAAACUAAUACGUCCAGACUCCAUAAAAGAAUUGCGGAUCUUUAUUCCUCUUGUACAUCUCCAGAGUCUGUGAGCCAAAAAGAAACUACUGAGGUUCCCACACCGAGUGUUUCUGUAAACACAGACGAAAAUGAAGAGUCACCCACAUCUAAAAGAUUUGUAGAUUCGAGGGAGCGUUAUAAUACACCCGACUCUGCAUUCUUGUUUGAACCUGAGAACACAACAAGGGAACAAAGAUUCAAUUUGACACCUAAAAGUGAGGAAAGAGCUGAGGUUCCCACAACCAGUGUUCAUAUGAACAACCGUGAACAUGAACAGUCUCCCACCAGUGAAACCCAGGUUCCUACAACCAGUGAUGUUCAUGAAAGACCUCAGCCAGGAGAAGGGUAUAGUUUAAAUGAAACAAACAACCCUCCCACUCCAGCUAGUAUUGCUUCAAAAAUGUUUAAAGACAACUGGGUCAUGGAUACUGUACGCAGCUGGGCAUCUUUGCUUAAACCUCGGAACACGAAAAAGGAACAAACGAUUGUAUACAGAUUUAAAAGUCCGCAAAGCAACGAAGAGUCGCCCUCUGAAACAACUGAGGUUAUCACUAUUGUUUCUGUAGAUACACAUGAAAAUGAAAAGUCACCCAACUCAAAAAGAGUUGUAUAUUCAAGGGACCAGUUUAUUAAGCCCAACUCAACGGAGGUUCCUACAAGCAAUGUUCAUAUGAACAACUCCGAAGAUGAAGACACUUCGACCAGUGAGAGUUAG
Molecule: long non-coding RNA, 1692 nt
Filed under: Oreochromis niloticus (Nile tilapia)
Lineage: Eukaryota; Metazoa; Chordata; Actinopteri; Cichliformes; Cichlidae
Description: lncRNA (ENSONIG00000039836.1)
Source: RNAcentral